CAAGGAAGGCAGCAGGCGCGUAAAUUACCCACUCCCAGCACGGGGAGGUGGUGACGAAAAAUAACAAUACGGGACUCUUUCGAGGCUCCGUAAUCGGAAUGAGUACAUUUUAAAUCCUUUAACAAGGAUCAAUUGGAGGGCAAGUCUGGUGCCAGCAGCCGCGGUAAUUCCAGCUCCAAUAGCGUAU
RNAcentral lists this ribosomal RNA (187 nucleotides) under Metajapyx sp. MFW-2001. RNAcentral's name for it is "partial 18S ribosomal RNA". It matches the Rfam family "Eukaryotic small subunit ribosomal RNA", at positions 417 to 602 of the family's 1831-position model. The record is from RNAcentral. Lineage: Eukaryota; Metazoa; Arthropoda; Diplura; Dicellurata; Japygidae.